GGUUAAAGAGAACUUUUAAAAUAAGAGAUAUUGGACUGUGCUCAAUCCUUUGGGGCAGCAGGGCAGCCUAGUGGUUAGAGCGUAGAGGAGGUAGGUUAGCCUAGUGGUUAGAGUGUAGAGGAGGCAGGGUAGCCUAGUGGUUAGAGUGUAGAGGAGGUAGGGUAGCCUAGUGGUUAGAGUGUAGAGGAGGCAGGGUAGCCUAGUGGUUAGAGUGUAGAGGAGGUAGGGUAGCCUAGUGGUUAGAGUGUGGAGGAGGCAGGGUAGCCUUGUGGUUAGAGUGUAGAGGAGGCAGGUUGGCCUAGUGGUUCGAGUGUAUAGAGGAGGUAGGGUAGCCUAGUGGUUAGAGCGUUGGACUAGUAACCGGAAGGUUGCAAGUUCAAACCCCGAGCUGACAAGGUACAAAUCUGUCGUUCUGCCCCUGAACAGGUAGUUAGUUAGCCUAGGAACAGUGGGUUGUCAUUGAAAAUAAGAAUUUGUUCUUAACUGACUUGCCUAGUUAAAUAAAGGUAAAAUUAAAAGAUUUAAAAUUUCACUUAAAAUCACACAUUCAUGUCAAAUGGAAGAAUUUGUUUACGUCCCUGUAGUCCUUUACCAAAGGUAAUUCAAUCCAUCUGACAGGUGUGGCAUAUCAAGAAGCUAUUUAAACAUCAUGAUUUAUUUUUUUAAAACACAGGUGCACCUUGUGCCGGGACAAUAAAAGGCCACUCUUAAAUGAGCAGUUGUCACACAACACAAUGCCACAGAUGUCUACAUUUUGAGGGAGAUGGCAUGCUGAUUGCAGGUAUUUCCACCAGAGCAGUUGCCAGAGAAUUUAAUGUUCAUUUCUCUACCGUAAGCCGCUUCCAACGUUGUUUUAGACAAUUUGACAGAACGUCCAACCGGCCUCACAACCCCAGACCAGGUGUAACCACGCCAGCCCAGGACCUCCACAUCCGGCUUCUUAACCCUGGGGAUAAUCUGAGACCAGCCACCCGGACAGCUGAUGAAACUGAGGAGUAUUUCUGUCUGUAAUAAAGCCCUUUUGUGGGGAAAAACUCAUUCUGAUUGGCUGGGUCUGGCUCCACAGUGGGUGCCAGACCCAGCCUUCCAGCCUUCCUGGGCCUUCCUAGGCCCACCCAUGGCGGUGCCCCUACCCAGUCAUGUGAAAUCCAUAGAUUUGGACGGCAGGGUAGCCUAGUGGUUAGAGUGUAGAGGAGGUAGGGUAGCCUAGUGGUUAGAGUGUAGAGGUGGCAGGGUAGCCUAGUGGUUAGAGUGUAGAGGAGGUAGGGUAGCCUAGUGGUUAGAGUGUAGAGGAGGCAGGGUAGCCUAGUGGUUAGAGUGUAGAGGAGGUAGGGUAGCCUAGUGGUUACAGUGUGGAGGAGGCAGGUUAGCAUAGUGGUUAGAGCGUUGGACUAGUAACCGGAAGGUUUCAAGUUCAAACCCCCGAGCUGACAAGGUGCAAAUCUGUCGUUCUGCCCAUGAACAGGCAGUUAACCCACUGUCAUUGAGAAUUAGAAUUUGUUCUUAACUGACUUGCCUAGUUAAAUAAAGGUAAAAUAAAAUAAAAAAGAUUAGGGCCUAAUGAAUGUAUUUCAAUUGACUGAUUUCCUUAUAUGAACUGUAACUCAGUAAAAUGGUUGAAAUUGUUGCAUGUUGGCGUUCAUAUUUUUUUGUUCAGUAUAGA
This is a long non-coding RNA of Oncorhynchus keta (chum salmon), 1663 nucleotides long. RefSeq lists it as uncharacterized. The record is from RefSeq and is a predicted model, not a curated record. The transcript has 4 exons. NCBI's taxonomy places the organism in Eukaryota, Metazoa, Chordata, Actinopteri, Salmoniformes, Salmonidae.